This 492-nucleotide ribosomal RNA is filed under the name uncultured bacterium. Its description in RNAcentral is "partial 16S ribosomal RNA". It matches the Rfam family "Bacterial small subunit ribosomal RNA", at positions 29 to 507 of the family's 1533-position model. The record is from RNAcentral.
AGUGAACGCUGGCGGUAGGCCUAACACAUGCAAGUCGAACGGCAGCACAGUAAGAGCUUGCUCUUACGGGUGGCGAGUGGCGGACGGGUGAGGAAUACAUCGGAAUCUACUUUUUCGUGGGGGAUAACGUAGGGAAACUUACGCUAAUACCGCAUACGACCUACGGGUGAAAGCAGGGGAUCUUCGGACCUUGCGCGAUUGAAUGAGCCGAUGUCGGAUUAGCUAGUUGGCGGGGUAAAGGCCCACCAAGGCGACGAUCCGUAGCUGGUCUGAGAGGAUGAUCGGCCACACUGGAACUGAGACACGGUCCAGACUCCUACGGGAGGCAGCAGUGGGGAAUAUUGGACAAUGGGCGAAAGCCUGACCCAGCCACACCGCGUGGGUGAAGAAGGCCUUCGGGUUGUAAAGCCCUUUUGUUGGGAAAGAAAAGCAGCAGGUUAAUACCCCGCUGUUCUGACGGUACCCAAAGAAUAAGCACCGGCUAACUUCGUG